This is a long non-coding RNA of Dioscorea cayenensis subsp. rotundata (Guinea yam), 455 nucleotides long. RefSeq lists it as uncharacterized. The record is from RefSeq and is a predicted model, not a curated record. Lineage: Eukaryota; Viridiplantae; Streptophyta; Magnoliopsida; Dioscoreales; Dioscoreaceae. The transcript has 2 exons.
GCUUGUCAAGCAAAACUUCAAGAAUGGUGGCUAUAAAUCUAUGAGAGAGAAAUUUUCCUGUGUCCGGGUUUCCUCUAAUAUCACCAUUUGUGCUAUUAUCGGUGGGUGGGCAUUUGUGAAGAUUAAUUAGAGAUAGGUAUUGAAAGACGAAAAAGUCGAAAAUCUCAAUCUGAAGGUGAGCAGAUACAGCAGGCAAUGGUAUCAUGCUUUAUGUUUGGGUGAGUAAUGUGGGGGCAGGCAGUUGCAACUACUUGUGGAGGUGAUUACAAAGCCUGGAACAAAAAACAGUCAUUCCUUUGGAAUGGUUGAAGGGUAUUAAUUCCUUACAGGAUUCGAUUUCCCGGCAUGAGAUUAUGUACAUUUUUAUUUAUUUGUGUAUCUUAUCACCAACUAAAUGUGUGACCAUGCUCAUCAAUGUCUUGCUUCUUAAACUACUAAUUAUUAUUAUUAUUUUA